GAUGAACGCUGGCGGCGUGCCUAAUACAUGCAAGUCGAGCGAACAGACGAGGAGCUUGCUCCUUUGACGUUAGCGGCGGACGGGUGAGUAACACGUAGGUAACCUACCUAUAAGACUGGGAUAACUUCGGGAAACCGGAGCUAAUACCGGAUAAUAUUUCGAACCGCAUGGUUCGAUAGUGAAAGAUGGCUUUGCUAUCACUUAUAGAUGGACCUGCGCCGUAUUAGCUAGUUGGUAAGGUAACGGCUUACCAAGGCAACGAUACGUAGCCGACCUGAGAGGGUGAUCAGCCACACUGGAACUGAGACACGGUCCAGACUCCUACGGGAGGCAGCAGUAGGGAAUCUUCCACAAUGGGCGAAAGCCUGACGGAGCAACGCCGCGUGAGUGAUGAAGGUCUUCGGAUCGUAAAACUCUGUUAUUAGGGAAGAACAAACGUGUAAGUAACUGUGCACGUCUUGACGGUACCUAAUCAGAAAGCCACGGCUAACUACGUG
RNAcentral lists this ribosomal RNA (497 nucleotides) under uncultured bacterium. RNAcentral describes it as "partial 16S ribosomal RNA". It matches the Rfam family "Bacterial small subunit ribosomal RNA", at positions 28 to 507 of the family's 1533-position model. The record is from RNAcentral.